CUAGUUGUGUUUACUGCUUG
This 20-nucleotide non-coding RNA is filed under the name Arabidopsis thaliana (thale cress). The record is from RNAcentral. Lineage: Eukaryota; Viridiplantae; Streptophyta; Magnoliopsida; Brassicales; Brassicaceae.